UACGGAGGAUCCAAGCGUUAUCCGGAUUUAUUGGGUUUAAAGGGUGCGUAGGUGGCUUUUUAAGUCAGGGGUGAAAGACGGCAGCUUAACUGUCGCAGUGCCUUUGAUACUGAAGAGCUUGAAUAAACUAGAGGUAGGCGGAAUGUGACAAGUAGCGGUGAAAUGCAUAGAUAUGUCACAGAACACCAAUUGCGAAGGCAGCUUACUAUGGUUUGAUUGACACUGAGGCACGAAAGCGUGGGGAUCAAACAGG
RNAcentral lists this ribosomal RNA (253 nucleotides) under uncultured bacterium. RNAcentral describes it as "partial 16S ribosomal RNA". It matches the Rfam family "Bacterial small subunit ribosomal RNA", at positions 524 to 776 of the family's 1533-position model. The record is from RNAcentral.